This 241-nucleotide long non-coding RNA is filed under the name Elaeis guineensis (African oil palm). RNAcentral's name for it is "long non-coding RNA (EGUI_LNC021993)". Lineage: Eukaryota; Viridiplantae; Streptophyta; Magnoliopsida; Arecales; Arecaceae. The record is from RNAcentral.
UUGCUAUAUUUUUAUAAUUAUCUUUUUAUUUUCUCUAAUGAUGAUUCAAACUUAAUUAAUAGAUAUUGAAGGAAAUGGCUCCAUAGAUUGCUAUGGGCUCUUUUUUUUGUUCUCAUAUUAUGGUUAAAACCUAAUGGAUGCUGAUGGAUUUUGUUUGCUAUUUUCGAGAAUAAUAGAAGAUUUUACGCAAUGAGAACUGAUCUCUUCUUCUGCAUGUUCAGAGUCCUACAUCUUUUUUUCU